UACGUAGGGGGCUAGCGUUGUCCGGAUUUAUUGGGCGUAAAGAGCGUGUAGGCGGCCAGGUAGGUCUGGUGUGAAAACUCGAGGCUUAACCUCGAGAUGUCAUCGGAAACCAUCUGGCUAGGGUCCGGAAGAGGAGAGUGGAAUUCCUGGUGUAGCGGUGAAAUGCGCAGAUAUCAGGAAGAACACCAAUGGCGAAAGCAGCUCUCUGGGACGGUGCUGACGCUGAGACGCGAAAGCGUGGGGAGCGAACAGG
RNAcentral lists this ribosomal RNA (253 nucleotides) under uncultured bacterium. RNAcentral describes it as "partial 16S ribosomal RNA". It matches the Rfam family "Bacterial small subunit ribosomal RNA", at positions 524 to 776 of the family's 1533-position model. The record is from RNAcentral.